UCAUCGAUGGUUCAAUGGUAGCAUACUCGUUUCCCAAUCGAGAGACCCGGGUUCGAUUCCCGGUCGGUGCA
RNAcentral lists this transfer RNA (71 nucleotides) under Trichonephila clavata. It matches the Rfam family "tRNA". Rfam says of the family: Transfer RNA (tRNA) molecules are approximately 80 nucleotides in length. Their secondary structure includes four short double-helical elements and three loops (D, anti-codon, and T loops). Further hydrogen bonds mediate the characteristic L-shaped molecular structure. tRNAs have two regions of fundamental functional importance: the anti-codon, which is responsible for specific mRNA codon recognition, and the 3' end, to which the tRNAs corresponding amino acid is attached (by aminoacyl-tRNA synthetases). tRNAs cope with the degeneracy of the genetic code in two manners: having more than one tRNA (with a specific anti-codon) for a particular amino acid; and 'wobble' base-pairing, i.e. permitting non-standard base-pairing at the 3rd anti-codon position. Lineage: Eukaryota; Metazoa; Arthropoda; Arachnida; Araneae; Nephilidae. The record is from Rfam by way of RNAcentral.